GGCUGGAAAGAUGGCUCAGUGGUUAAGAGCACUGACUGCUCUUCCAGAGGUCCUGAGUUCAAAUCCCAGCAACCA
This 75-nucleotide transfer RNA is filed under the name Mus musculus (house mouse). RNAcentral's name for it is "tRNA-Ser". Lineage: Eukaryota; Metazoa; Chordata; Mammalia; Rodentia; Muridae. The record is from RNAcentral.